AGGUGGUGGUGGUGGUGGUUCCAG
This 24-nucleotide non-coding RNA is filed under the name Arabidopsis thaliana (thale cress). The record is from RNAcentral. Lineage: Eukaryota; Viridiplantae; Streptophyta; Magnoliopsida; Brassicales; Brassicaceae.